CCUACGGGAGGCAGCAGUGGGGAAUAUUGCACAAUGGGCGAAAGCCUGAUGCAGCGACGCCGCGUGAGGGAUGACGGCCUUCGGGUUGUAAACCUCUUUCAGCAGGGAAGAAGCGAAAGUGACGGUACCUGCAGAAGAAGCACCGGCUAACUACGUGC
RNAcentral lists this ribosomal RNA (158 nucleotides) under uncultured bacterium. RNAcentral describes it as "partial 16S ribosomal RNA". It matches the Rfam family "Bacterial small subunit ribosomal RNA", at positions 338 to 508 of the family's 1533-position model. The record is from RNAcentral.